GGCCGCCUGGCGAAAUGGCAUCGCGUCUGACUACGAAUCAGGAGAUUGCGGGUUCGAGCCCUGCGGUGGUCA
RNAcentral lists this transfer RNA (72 nucleotides) under Jaapia argillacea MUCL 33604. RNAcentral's name for it is "tRNA-Arg (ACG) (tRNA-Arg-ACG-4-1)". It matches the Rfam family "tRNA". Rfam says of the family: Transfer RNA (tRNA) molecules are approximately 80 nucleotides in length. Their secondary structure includes four short double-helical elements and three loops (D, anti-codon, and T loops). Lineage: Eukaryota; Fungi; Basidiomycota; Agaricomycetes; Jaapiales; Jaapiaceae. The record is from Rfam by way of RNAcentral.